ACGAACGCUGGCGGCAUGCCUAAUACAUGCAAGUCGAACGAGAUCUUCGGAUCUAGUGGCGCACGGGUGCGUAACGCGUGGGAAUCUACCCUUGGGUUCGGAAUAACAGUUGGAAACGACUGCUAAUACCGGAUGAUGACGCCAAAGAGAUUUGGAGUCCAAAGAUUUAUCGCCCAAGGAUGAGCCCGCGUAGGAUUAGCUAGUUGGUGAGGUAAAGGCUCACCAAGGCUACGAUCCUUAGCUGGUCUGAGAGGAUGAUCAGCCACACUGGGACUGAGACACGGCCCAGACUCCUACGGGAGGCAGCAGUAGGGAAUAUUGGACAAUGGGGGCAACCCUGAUCCAGCAAUGCCGCGUGAGUGAUGAAGGCCUUAGGGUUGUAAAGCUCUUUUACCCGAGAUGAUAAUGACAGUAUCGGGAGAAUAAGCUCCGGCUAACUCCGU
This 443-nucleotide ribosomal RNA is filed under the name uncultured bacterium. Its description in RNAcentral is "bacterial SSU rRNA". It matches the Rfam family "Bacterial small subunit ribosomal RNA", at positions 29 to 506 of the family's 1533-position model. The record is from RNAcentral.